GAACGCUGGCGGCAUGCUUUACACCUGCAAGUCGAACGGCAGCGGGGAGGAGCUUGCUUCUCUGCCGGCGAGUGGCGAACGGGUGAGUAAUACAUCGGAACGUGUCGAGAAGAGGGGGAUAACCACCCGAAAGGGUGGCUAAUACCGCAUAAAUUCUGAGGAAGAAAGCUGGGGACCUAGGAAUAGGCCUAGCGCUUUUUGAGCGGCCGAUGUCGGAUUAGCUAGUUGGUGAGGUAAAGGCUCACCAAGGCGAAGAUCUGUAGCGGGUCUGAGAGGAUGAUCCGCCACACUGGGACUGAGACACGGCCCAGACUCCUACGGGAGGCAGCAGUGGGGAAUUUUGGACAAUGGGGGCAACCCUGAUCCAGCCAUGCCGCGUGUAUGAAGAAGGCCUUAGGGUUGUAAAGUACUUUUGUUAGGGAAGAAAAGUCAGCUGUGAAUAAUGGCUGAUACUGACGGUACCUAAAGAAUAAGCACCGGCUAACUACGUG
This 491-nucleotide ribosomal RNA is filed under the name uncultured bacterium. RNAcentral describes it as "partial 16S ribosomal RNA". It matches the Rfam family "Bacterial small subunit ribosomal RNA", at positions 31 to 507 of the family's 1533-position model. The record is from RNAcentral.